Molecule: ribosomal RNA, 50 nt
Filed under: uncultured fungus
Lineage: Eukaryota; Fungi
Description: partial 28S ribosomal RNA
Source: RNAcentral
UUGAUCUCAAAUCAGGUARGACUACCCGCUGAACUUAAGCAUAUCAAUAA